GUCAUGUGUUGAGCUACCAACAUUUUGAUUUAGUUCUUAUGGAUUUUGUGUUUAGUUAUAAACCUUUUAAGUCACCAUGUUUAUACAAUAAAUUGCCAUCGUGUUGUCUGGUUUUAUGUCCCACUUUUUUAUGUCCAUUAAAUCUCCUGUCUAUAUAUGUAUUGCUGAGGGUUAGGUUUUCGAUAUGUUGAUAUUGUUUUUGGUGAGAGUUUUGUUUCUCAACUUUAUUGAAAGCUUGAGCGGGUUUAUAAAGUAAUUCUGUUGAGGGUUAGACUCUCCAUAUGUAGCUAUGCUUCUGCAUAUGAAUUUAGGAUGCUUAAUCAUGACUGUUUGGUGCUAUCUUUCACAUAUGUUUCUGUUGGACAUUUAGAGAUGUUAAUAAGGCAGCUUAUUUGUGUGUUUGGGUGAUUUUAUUGUAUGGAUGGAACACUCCUCUAUUGAUUUUGUCUUUAGAUGCUACUUUAGACUUAACUAGAAUGGGUGCAUGAUUUAAAAUUAACUCUAUCCGCUUCAGCUUAAUUCUGUUUGUUCCACUGUAGUUAGUUCUACCUUGUUUAUCUUUUGCUUCUGUUAUUAAUAUAAUUACUCAACCUUUAAAAUAACAGUAAAUUUAUAGAAUGUGAGCACCUCAUAAAGUGCAAAAUUAUAAGAUACAAAAUCAGCCUAGUUCCAAAAAUUUAUCCAAAAAUAACUUCAACUCAACUUUUACUUACUAAAAAAAAAUUCAAGGAUAAAUAUUAAAAUUACACUUGAACUUUAGUUUAAUGUGUAAUGUUAUCUAUGAAAUUUGAUUUUGUGCAAUUAUAUGAAAUUUUGGAUUGAUUCAAAUUUCACAAAUUACUAACAUAAUUAUUGAUAUAGUACCAUUUUAUGUUUAUAUUGCGUACCCAAAGAACUAUGUUUAUCCCAUAUAAAAAACUCGAUGUAGUUAUUUCUUUAAAUGUGUAUAAUUGAAGUAAAAUCAAAAUUUCACAUAUACAUUUGAAUCACAAUCAAAUUUUAUGUAGAUAUCAAAUUACACUUUCGAUCAAAGCUCAUGCAUGAUUUUGAGAUUCAUCCUAAAAUUUUAAAAUCUUAACUUGAAAAAUUCACUUAAAAUAUAAUUUGAGCAUUUGUUCUACCAUUAGACCCUACCAUGGAAGUCAAUCCCUUGUUUGGUUAGUAGCAUCACUUGGAUUGCUUUUACCAUGACUUUCAAGCCUUUCUUAUCCAUUUGCCAGUGUCUGCUAGAUAUGAGCUGAUGUAGAUUUUCAUCAAAUAAAAACAAUGGACUAAAAGAGGCCCAUUGAUGGUCUUCUUCAGAGGCUUAUGUCUUUUAUGUUGCUUGCCUCUUUUGCCAAGGUUUUUUAAAUGUUAUCUUAUUUUUCUUCAACCCUUAUGCUUUUGACACUAUUGACACAUGUUAGUGAUGUUUUGAACUCAAAGUAGAGUAAGACUUUAAUUUAGGAUGGCGAUGGUUAACUAAUGAAGAAUUAGGGGUAAAAAUACUAUUAAGGUCUUUGUACUAGGAGUUUAAUUGCAUUUUACUCCCUCUACUAAAAAAAAGGGGCAAAUUAGUUCUUGUACGUUAGAUCAAAGAGCAAAUUAGUCUCUCUGUUAGAAAUUCCAUCCAUUUCUACUGUUAAUAAAGGGUCAUUCUAUGUCAGCAUGAGGUAUACAUGGCACGCCACAUGUCACUGUUUAAUUAUUCCAUCAGCCAACCAAUUUUUAACUAAAAGGGCCAAUUUACUCUUUGAUCUAAGAAACAUGGACUAAUUUGCCAAUUUCUUAAGUAGAGGAGGCAAAAUGCUAUCCAACUUUUAAUAUAGAAGCCUCCAUAGUACUUUUAGCCUACAAAUGCAUGUCGAUUAGAGCAGAUUCUCAUACCCAAGUACCAUUUUUGUUCUACACUUGACAACUUUGCUUGAUGAUUUAAGGAACAAAAGGUGUUUAUAGAGACUAAAGUGGUAAAGAUUGUCAUGGAAGCUUGUGCUAAAGCAACCUAUAUAAAGAGAUGUAUCUUCACUUCUUCUCCAUUGGCAUCCAUUUGGAGGAAUGAAAAUAUAGAUGGGAUUAUUAAUGAGAGAUAUUAGAUCAGUGAAGAAUUUUGUAGAGAAAAUAAGUGUUAGCAUUGAUUCCCCAAGAUUUUGAUAUAACAGCAUUUAAGAUAAAUUUUAUAUAUUAUAUUUUUUAAGUCAUUUAGUGAAAAUAUGGUCGAAAAUUUUAUCAAACAUUUUCAAAACAAUUUUAAAAGUUGAAAAAUAAUUUUUAAGAAUUUUUUAAGUGUUUUCAGGUUAGGUACAACACCUUGGCCAAAAGGUACGAUACCUAGAAGUUAAUGUGCAAAAUGGCAUAGAGGUACAACACCCUUCCACCCAAGUACUGCACCUUACCCAAGAGGUACCGCACCCUUCUAGCUGGGGUGCAAUACUUGUGGCUCAACAAUCAAAUUUUAAAGAAAGGUACCACACCCUAAAGGCUAGGUAUCACACCCCAAAACUCUGCAAGUGUUUUUAAGCCCAAAAUUAAUUCUUCCAAUGGUUAGAAUUCAUCCCCAAUGAUAAUAAACGUUCACAAAAUCAUUCCUCAAUAUUAAUACAAGUAAAAAACACAUCAAGACACAAAAGAUGAACAUCCAAUUCUUUAUUUCUUCAUUUUAUCUUGUAUAUAUAUCUUGUAACAAUCCGUUUUUCAGUGGUGUCAGAAAUGAUGGUUUCAGAGCCUCAUUCUCUGAUGAUUGAGCCUGUAAAUAUUAUUAGUUAAUAUUUAUGAGUCAAUUAUAAUAUUAUAUUAAAUUUUGGUUUGAUGAAUUUGUUAAUUGGAUAGUUAGUUAAGGUAUAAAUGUUUCAACCCUAAAGUCAAUGGUGUUGAAAAAUGAGGUAUCAGGACCUUUCUGUAAGUUGAGUUUGUAGAUAUUUUUAUUAAAUAUUUACAGAGUUAUUAUAUAGAUGAAUUUAAUUUUGGAUAGGUAAUUUCACCAAAUUAGUGGUUAAUUAUGGUACAAGGACUAAAUCAUAAAUUUAACCGCUAUAGAUUUUUAAUUUCUAAAGGACUUAGAUAGUAAUUAAAACAAAGCCAAAAGUGAUGAUCAGACCAUUUUAAGUGUAGUGGACGGUUGGUGGUAGGGAUUUUCUUAAAAUAAUGUUAAAAUUCUUAAUUAAAUUUUUUUAUAUGUUAAUGAAAUAAUAAACAAAAACUAUCAUCUUUUAUUUUGUCUUCUGCAUUAAAAAUACAAAGAAGAAAACUUGAGAAUCCAUUUUUCUUAUUUCAAGCUUUUCGACCAUCGCAUGAUAGGGAUUUGGGGACCAAAUCAUAGAUAAUUGUAAAAAAAUCAAAUUAGUGAUUAGUCCUUUACGACUUGUUAAUUGUUGAUUUUGUUGUAAUUUGAAAUGUUUGCAAUUUGAUACAAAAUGAGAGAUAUGGACUAAAUUGCAAGGAAAUGAUAACAUGACUAAUAAAUUGAAUAUGAUCAAUUGUAAUUUAAGAUAUUUAAUGAAUUAAUAGUUGAGUAUGACUGUUCAAAUCGUAUUGGCAUGAAUUUAAUAUAUAUUAUCGAUACAGAGGACUAAAUUGAAAAUAGUGUAACUUGGUGAAACUAUGAAGUUGUCUUGGAAUUGAAAUGAAUCAUGCUAUGCUUUGUAUGAAAUGAUAACUUGAUUAAUGAAUUGAUGAUACAGAGAUCGAUAGAAUGAGAGUUGAACUUGUAAUGAAAUUAGAUUAUUGGUUGCUCUAUUAACUGUUCAACACUUUGGUGCUCUUUGAUUAGCACUUAUGUGCUCUCUGUUCAACACUUUGGUGCUCUUUGAUUAGUAAAUUUGUGCUCUCUGUUUAGCACUUCGGUGCUCUCUGAUUAGCACUUUUAUGCUCUCUAUUAUGGUGCUUUCUGGUAUGGUUUAGUACUCGUGUAUCGAAUUUGUUUACUAAAUUUUAUCGAGUUAAUUAGUAUAUGAAAAUUGAGAAAUGAAAAUGAUAUGAUAUGAUGCUUUUAUAUAUAUAAAUAGUUGAACGUAGAAUAAAUAUUGGAAAUUGUAUUGGAUUGAUGACUUCGUGUGAAUAAUACUGAAUUGAAAUGUUAAAUGUUUAUAUUUUAAUAAGAUACGUUUUACAAUGAACUCACCUUAUUGAAUUGUGUUACCAUGUUUAGGCCUAUUUGUCAAGUUAAAUUACUUAUUGUAUUUAUGUGUAAAGUGAGGUAAGUUGUUAUUUUAUGCCUAUGAACUUACUAAGUAUUUUGAAAUACUUACUUUGUUGUUGUUUCCUUUUGUAGUUUUUCAACUUGUAGAACACGUCAAUCGAAUCGCCUUAGAGCUCACACUAUCUAGCUUUUGAUUCUAUAGUCUUUUGAUUGUUUAUGUUGGGUUAUGUGACAUGUACUUAGGUUUUUGGAAAUGUUAGUUUGGAUCUUUGUGUAUGUAUAUAUGUGUGUGAUUUACAUAGUGGUAUUAUUUAGUUGAAUUGGUACUUUUGAUGGAAAUGUUGUUAUAAACAACAUUAAUGAUAUGAGACAAGAUUAUGGCUUGUUGAUAAAUAAUGCUUAUGGUAUAUGUGUGCAUUGUGAGUUAGUUUAUGAAUUUAAUGGUAGCCUAGUUCAAUGGUUGGUACAAUGUUGUAGUCGAAUAAUUUAAAAGCAUGUAAGAAUGAUGGUUGAUUGAAUUGAAAUUGUAUAAGUUGACUUGAAAUGAUUUGGUGCCAAUUAAGACAUACUGGUUUUGGUUGUUGGGAAAAUGUUUAAAUGAUAUGUUUUGUAAAGGUUAUGUUGGGCAUUUUUGCACUAAAUGGUUAGCUGUUUAGAUGGCCAAGUGACUGGUGUCAAAUGAAUUAUUUUGCACCAAAAACAAGUUCCUUGCUCCAACGUUGAUUUCCCAUCGUCGCAAUGUUGGCCAACAAUUUGUGAUGUUCUGACAACAAGUGGUUCGACGUCGAGACUUGACAUACUGUUUUGGCAAUGUCACGACGUCAACCCUGAAUUUUUAAAACUUUGCAAUUUGGUCAUUGUUCGAUCUCAAGUAAAUUUUAGAGCUCACGUAAGCUCGAGAAAGGUUUUAAUUUGUACUGAAUGAUUAAAAUGAUAGAAUUUAUUAGUUUUUGACUCAUGUUGUUUGUUAAAUGUCUAUAAUUGUUCCGUUUUUUACUGUAGCAUCCCAUAGCUCAGUCCCAGCGACUGGAUCGGGCGAGAGGUGUUACAUAUCUCUUAUGUGGUUAUUGUUAGAUCCUUUUACCAUUCUCAUUUUCAUUCUUUGAAAGAGCUUAACAUUUGUAAUCACACGCCUUUGAGAAGUCUCCAUUGUUAACAUAUUUUAUUUGUGCUUGUAAAGGCUACUUGAGGGUUUUUAUAGAAGGUUAUAGUUGGGCCUUGUAAAAGCUAGAGGGUUAUAGUUUAGCCACCAAAACUAAGGGGAAGGUUCUAUUUCAACAUUUUGAAAAAGAUAGGGAUUGUAAAGUUUAUACCUUGUCCUUGAAAGGUAUCAAUUCAAGUAUAGCGAAUUGGGAAAUCUUUGGUUAAGGUAUACCAAUAUAGUGAAGAUAGGCAAUUGGGGCCGAACCACUAUAAGUCAAAGUGUCCAAGCUUUUCUUUCAUUUUCUUGUCAUCUAUAAAAGUUUGCAAAGAAUUUUAAAAUAUCAAUUCACCUCCUCUUGCUAUUUUCGGGCCUAACAAUAAGGCACUUUUUUCUAUCAUUGGAACAAUUACUUAUUCAUUGAUAACUCUAAAUUAUAUAGAUUUUUAGAGCACCUUUUUACUUAGAAUUUAUGCAAAUCUCGAGUAUUUUGAUAGCUAAUUAUGUGUUUUUAGUACAUAUUGAGAAUUUUGGCACAAAUAAAUCAAGAUUAUAAUUUUUGAGCAAUUAGGUACUAAUUUGACAUAACUUUACUUUAUGUUGCUGCAUUUUGAAAAUUUCAUAAUUUGUGUUACAAUUAUUGUAGCUUGGUACACUAACUUGUUCAAUGUUCAAAGCCAGUAUGAGUGACACAUGCAUGUGAGCUGAAUAUCAAUCAACAUGGGAUGGCAAGCUAAGGCAUUGGACUCAACAAAUUUAUUUUAACCCAGCUUGGAAGUGGAUUGUUGAAAAGAACAAGUCUGCUUUCUACAUUGGAGCCCAAAUUCUCCAUUAAGGGGGAAAGAAGCCUGAAUUCGGCAAUGACUUGGUAGAACAACCCAACAAACUUUGGAACAAUUAAUUAAGGGUCCUUACAUGUGUAAAAAAAUCACAAAUCAGCCCUAGUUAAACACUAUAGUUUUCGUCCAACCCAUGCCUUAAAUCAAGCAAAAAUCAAGCUUGAAACAUGAAAAAACUUAACCCCUUGUUCCAUGAAAUAUGGCUGGCCAUGCAUGAUAGAUUUCUAAAGGGUGUUCAUGCUAUUUUUAGAAAAAUCCUAAGCCUUCCCUAAUGUAUAAAUACCACCUCCAUUCACCUCUCAAAUCACUCAUCAAUCAAUCAUUAAUUCAUUCAACACACUCAUUUCCCCUUCCUCUUCCACACCUAAAGCCUUCCAUUUCCCUUCAUUUUUCCCAUCCUCUCUUUGAGAUUUCCCCUAGUAAGCCGUUCUUGAAAGAAAAUCUCUCUUGGUUGCCCACCUUGAGGAGUAAUUUGCAUCGAAGCAAUGACGAAAAUCAGAGGAAGCCACCACGGAUAGUUCUCGAGAAAUCACCGAAUUCAUCUCAGAGUUUCUUCUUCAUUUCUCUUUAAUUGUUCUUAGUUUAUAAACAUGUUUGUAAAUUAUUUGAUUGCACUUAACUUGUUUCAGCUAGAAUGGUUGCAAUGCCUUAAUUCGAUUCAUUCAAUUCAUGUUUAUAUUGUUCUGCGCCUCAAUUAUUUAUACUUCCAAUGAAAAUCAUUCAUGUUAUUCAUGCAUUAAGAUAUGUUUGACUGCAUUAGAAUUAAUCGCUUAAUCCAGACCAGAUGGUGAAUAAUGGACAUAAUAAUUGGAAGAUGCAUCGUUAAUUUAUAUUCGAACAAGAAUAAAUUAAAGGCUUGUAAUAAUUCUGAAAGAACACUAUUACCUUGCAUAACUUUAUAUUUAUGUGAUUAAAUUAUUCCAAACUUGACCCGUCCUUGUUACUUUGCAUAAAUUUUAAGGAAUCCUUAGUUAAAUAUUGACAUAGAAAUAUGCAUGUUUUUCUAAGUGAUAAAUCUAAGAUCUUGAAAGAGCAUAUGAUUGUAGAUUUCAAGUUCAUAAGUGAUCGAGUUGCCAUGGAAUUUUUCCGAAACAUAUGUUAAGCAUGAUAAUGAAUGAAUUAAAUUAAAAGUUGUAAUUGUUCUAGCUUAUUCAUGCUAUUGUUGUUAAAUCUUGUGAACUGUUGCUAAACCAUUAAUUGCAUUUAUUUAAUCUCAUUUGCAUAUUAGUUGUUAAUUUAAAUAGGACAUCCAUCACCUUCAAAUAUUUUAUUUUCAUAACCAAUUUGUAAAUUAAUAAUUUUACAACUGUUGAUUAAUAGGUACAAUCCCUGUGGAGACGAUACUCUUUUUACUUACUUAUUACUUGAUAAUGAUUGUGUAUACUUUCACAUUCCGUCGCGCACCAAGUUUUUGGCGCCAUUCAACGUAUAAUAACAACUAGUUUUAUAAGCUGCUUGGCAGAAUAAAGUUUUAAGGCACAUCACAAAGGUAUAAUAAGAGUACACCAAAUCGUACAUAAUAUGAAAGUUUGAAUAUUUGGCGAAGUGUCACUGACAUUCAACCUAUACAAAAUAAUGUACAUAGGUACAAACAAUUUUUCACUAUUUACAAAAUUUUAACAAAAUAGGCUAGAAAUGCAAGCCACCUUGAGAUAUACAUGUUACAAAAUAGACAAAUAAAUGGCUCACAAAUGAGUCAGCUGUCUAGCUGAGUCCCUACAAAAAAUUUGCAAUUCCCUAAGAUACCUGAAAAUGGGAUAAAGGAAACUAGGUAAGUUCAAAAAAAAACUUAGUGAGUUCUAAGAAUAAAUAAUAACCCAUGUAAACCUGCCUAUAAUACAAUAUCUUCAUCCAAGUCUGCGCACAUAGCACAUUGAAGGAAUAUCAAAAUAAUUAUUCAUCCUUAGGAGAAAAUAAACAACUCGCAUGCUAACAUAUAUUAUGACUAAAUUAGGUACCUUGGUGAAUAUUAACAGCAUCUAAAUACAAUUCACAAGCUAACAUAUAUUAUGACUAAGUUAAAUGCAUUGGCAGAUACUAUCUGCAUCUAAUUACAUUUGUUAAUAAGUAUAAUUCAUUGUCAGAUGUUGAUACAUUCAAGUAUAGUUCACAUGCGGUCCAUUUAAAAACAUUUCUACACCCUUUCUUGUGCUAGCUUCGGAUCCUUUCAACACUCCGAAGAACUAAUGUUUCAUUUAUACCAAUCGAAUCUCUGCAAAUCCUCCUUAUUAAUUUGAACACAUAUGUCUUCCCCCGCAAGGCUAGGGUCCGUCGUCAAUCUUAGUUUUCAUUCACAUGCCCUACUGGAGGCAAAAUGUGUAAAAAAUGUGUAACAUAUCAAAUUCUCCAUUUGCUCUUCCCAUCAUAUUACAUUUCAAUAGGCCUCUAUUACCCUCUUUUCCACCUUUCAGGAUACUGAGCUUGUGCACCAAGAAAGAAAUAUCCAUUUCAAUUAUUCAUUCACAUUUAUUUAAGUUUCUUGUUUACUGUUUGUUAUCACAAGAAUGCACAUGCCAAAUUCUAAGGGAAUAACUAACUUUACCUAAGAAGACAACAUAAAAUUUAAAGCUAGUUCGUUUACUUAUUUAAAACAAAAUUGAAAGGAACUCACUAGAAAUUCUAAGGAAAUUUUUAUCUACUCAAGGGGUUCUUUCCACUUCUUAUUAGAGACUUCUUUGACUUCUUUAGCUAAAUACAAUCAAUCAUUUCUAUUAAAUAUAGAAACAACCAAGACUGUUACGCAAAAAUAAGAAUCGACAACAUGCAACAAUUUAACUAGAACAAAGGUUCCCUCCUUUCAAAAAAAUCCAAUGAAAACCUAUAUAUAUGACUUCAACCAUUCUUAUAUUUCCUAAUAUUUGAACUAAAGGAGGACUUAAUAAAUUACCAGCAAUUGACUCGAAAGGAAAUUUCUAAACAAGCUAUAAAUACAGGUUCUUCCUUCUAGCAAUGAAGAACACUUCUAAUUUUCUUUGGAGAUAACAAAGAAUAAUCAAGGAAAAGGAAAUUAAAGUAUUUCCUCUUUUAUACCUCUAUUAUUUAUAUAAAACUAAGCUCUUCCCACUCUAAACAGGAUCCCUAAUCACAUUACAUGCACACAUGAUUCCACUAAUUAAGCACAACCAUCAAGACUCUCCAGGUUUUAUGCACAACGACACGUUCCUUUCCCAAGGGUUGACACGUCACUAGUACGUGUCCCACUUAUCGUAGGUUAAUAAUCAAACGAUUAAACCCAAAACAACUAAACUUGCCACUGGCAUGUUUGUGCACGGAAGAACUUACCAAAAUGAAAGAGUUUGCCAAAUGCAGAAUGGAAGUCCACAAGAUGCCAAAACACAGCAAAACAGUUCGCUAGAGGAUGCACCUAAUAGCUCCUAUAACACCCCUAACUCAUAGCGAAUGAUGGAAUAGGGUUACGGAGUAUUAGUGAACUUACAAUCAAACAAUCAGACAUUUUAUUUUAGAAACCAAUCAAACUCAAUCAUAUAGUCCCUAAAUACGAGUCCUUGAGGCCCAAAAUAAACACUAAAAACAAGUCAGGACUAACCCGAGUACUCGAAGAAUUUCUCAGAAAACAUGAAAAUUUUCCAAAGGUGCAGGGGACACACGCUCGUAUGGCUCACAGGACCAAGAGAUAGGCUCGUGUCUUAGGGCGUGUAGGCAUUCGAAAUAGAGACACACGGUUGUGUCCCAGCCCAUGUCUGUGCCCGUGUAACUCACUGACUUGGGUCACACGGCCAAACCACACAUCCGUGUGCUAGGUCAUGUGCUAAACCGUGUAAAAUCUGGAGGGUAUACUGACUUGUGUCACACGGCCAAGCCACAUGCUCGUGUGCUAGGCCGUGUAAGGCCACUGACUUGUUUUCUUUAGAUGUUACAGGGGACACACGGUCGUGUUACCCGGCCGUAUGUCACACACGGCUGAGACACACGACCGUGUGGACAAAAAUAGGCUAUUUUCCAAGCCAUAUUUCUCACCCAAAUUGGUACCAACCUACACACUAAAAUUUUCAUAUGGCAAUGACAUAAAUAGGCAUUCAAAACCAACCAACAUCAAGCCUAAAACAUGCAAUAACAUCACAUACAAACAUGAUACUCAUAGGCACCUCAAUUUGUCAUUUAUAACAUGCCAAUUAUGUCUCCAAAAUCUCCUUAAAUGGUCAAACACAUAUAUGCAAAAUUGUGCCUAAAACUUAACUUGUAUGUCACUUAUCAAACUCAUCUAUUUGGUACCCAAAAUACCAAUUCACAAACAAGACAUUCACAUGACAACCAUACACCACAUAUAAUAGGGUCAUUUACAUAUUUACAUAACAAAAUAUGUGUCCACAAUACAAGCCAAUUCAAANNNNNNNNNNNNNNNNNNNNNNNNNNNNNNNNNNNNNNNNNNNNNNNNNNNNNNNNNNNNNNNNNNNNNNNNNNNNNNNNNNNNNNNNNNNNNNNNNNNNNNNNNNNNNNNNNNNNNNNNNNNNNNNNNNNNNNNNNNNNNNNNNNNNNNNNNNNNNNNNNNNNNNNNNNNNNNNNNNNNNNNNNNNNNNNNNNNNNNNNNNNNNNNNNNNNNNNNNNNNNNNNNNNNNNNNNNNNNNNNNNNNNNNNNNNNNNNNNNNNNNNNNNNNNNNNNNNNNNNNNNNNNNNNNNNNNNNNNNNNNNNNNNNNNNNNNNNNNNNNNNNNNNNNNNNNNNNNNNNNNNNNNNNNNNNNNNNNNNNNNNNNNNNNNNNNNNNNNNNNNNNNNNNNNNNNNNNNNNNNNNNNNNNNNNNNNNNNNNNNNNNNNNNNNNNNNNNNNNNNNNNNNNNNNNNNNNNNNNNNNNNNNNNNNNNNNNNNNNNNNNNNNNNNNNNNNNNNNNNNGAUUUAGAGGCCCGCGCAUUUCCCUUCCGACACGUAUUUGCCGCUGCCUCUCCUCUGGCGUAAGUAAAUACGACUUUCCAUGGAUCCUAAACUAUGGCAUGUAUUCUGGAAUGCACGCUAACUCGGGAACGAUGAUUUGUUCCCGAGUAGGUAGAUAUUCAUGUCGAUUUUCCCACAUUUCUGUGUACUCUGACCAGCAUCUAGUUCAAUCUGUACCUAAUAGCCGAAGGUCGAUUUUGUGGUGCUCGUCAAACACCUCAGGGUCCGCAGGGAUCGGUUGUCUACAUCCAAACUGUCGUAGGACUCUGUCUGUCUGGUGGGGCUCCACGGUUGCAUAGUUGAUCAACACCACUUUCACGUGCCAAGCGUUCGGAUUUUGUAAAAACUCUUCCGGGAUUACUGCCCGGACUGCCGGAUCCUCGUAUGGUGUCCAUUGAAACUACAUGAACAUGAUAGAAAUAUUACUUAUAUACAUAAUACUAAAUACUAAAUACUAAACAUCAAUCCACUAGCGAAUGUAUGGAAAUAUCUAUUUGCAAUAAUACUUACUUCUGCUUCCGACCGUUGAUCCAAUAGAAGCCGUAUAUCUUCAAGUUCAGACGGUAAUCCACGAUAACUUGCCGGAUGGUUCCACCUAAAUAAAUAAAUUUUUAGCAUACUUUUAUUCUUACAAAAUUUACAUAACAAUUUCAAAAUGUAAUAUAAAAUUUACCUCGUUACGAGUGGGAAUGUAUAUGGGUGGUUCACUCGAGGACGUAGAAAUGGAAAGUGAAACCGUGCCCAUGAUUGCAGUAGUGACAGGCAACCUCUGAUUUUUGCUCUCCUCGGUUUGGUCGCCCCGCACAUCUCCCGAUAUAAUGUUGCCAAGACGGCAAACCCCUAACUUAAUUCACCGGGUGCUCUAAGAUCAACGAGUUUUAGCAGCCACCUUAGAUGUACACGGCUCCGUGACGUGUCGGCCAUCAGAGAGUCUCCAAUUAUUUGAAGAAUGUAUGAUCGAGCAUAUUGGAUUCUUUCAAUUUUUGUUGAAUCUAGCAAUCUCCACCUUACCUCAUUCCAUUUUAUCCGGAACAACGCCCAAAAGCUCGUAGCACACCGCCUCCCAAUUGCUAGAUUGGGCAGACCCGGUGACUGGAUGCCCGUCCACCGGCAAUCCCAAAUGCAGAUGGACAUCUUCUAGAGUGAUAGUGCACUCUCCACAUGGAAGAUGAAAUGUGUGCGUCUCGGGUCUCCACCUUUCGAUUAAUGCACUGAUCAGUUUCGGCUCCAACUUGCAUCCCCAGCCUACCGUCGCCACGUGCCAAAAUCCCGCUUCCCACAGGUAGUUCUCUACUAACGGUGAUGGAGGACCAUGCAUAUUCCGAAUAUUGCAUUCCAAUACACGAUCUUUAGACUUUUAUAACAAAAAAUAAAUUAAUAAUUAUCUAAAAAUACUUAAAUAAAAAUAUCUUAAAUAAAAUUUAAAAUUUAAACUUAAUACUUACCAUUUUCAUUUGCUCCACCAAUAUGUGAUUCACGAAUCAAUGAUCUGGCCAUUGUUGAAAAUUUUAAAAAUUUUAAAAUUAUUUUAAAAAAAUAAAAAUAUUUAAAAUUUUCUUUAAAAAAAUGAAUUUGAAUGGAAAAAGAAAUUUAAUAUGGAUUUGAGAGAUUUUUUGAAGGAAAUUGAGAGGAUUUUGGAAGGAAUUUGAGAGUUUAAGAGAAUUUUAGAAGGAAAUUGAGAAAAUAUUUGUUUGUGAAAAAAUAAGGGGUAGGGGGGUUUUAUAGUAAAAAAAAGUGACCGUUGGGGGGGCAACGGUCAAAAUUUUGACCGUUGGGGUACUGUUCACGCGCGCGUGUCAUCGCGUACACGUCAGCGCGACCUGCUGACUUGGAAGGAAAUCGCGUCCUUGAGGGCGCGAUUUCCUUCCACAUCAGCAGGUCGCGCUGACGUGGACACGAUGACCUGUCGUGUACCCUGACAUCGCGCUUACAUGGCAAAAAUUUCGCGGAAAUGACCCAUUCUGGUAAAUAAUUAAAAAUGUGGCCCAUUUCGGUAAAUUUAAAAAAAAUGGGUUUUUUUGGUAAAAUGACCGCGUCAUUGUAGCACUAUUCGCGUCACAUGUUAAAUGUAGAAUUCCCUUCAUCUCAAAUAUUCAUUACAUAAUAUGAAAAUUUUAAUAUCAUUUGUCUUAAAUACGAUUUUAUUUAGGUAGAUUUUGUACCUUAAAUAAGUAAGUACAUGUAUUUUAAUUUAGAUAUUUUCAAUAUUUGUAAUUUAGAUUUUUAAAAUUUUAGUCCAAAUUAAAUAACAACUAUUUAAUUCAUUGAGUUAUGUUAUUUUUAGAAUUUGAUGUGUUGAAUAUAUUAUUGCAUGUGUGUCAUGUCAGCUUGUUAUCUCCACAUGUUAUUAAAAAAAUAGUUAAUAGAUUUAACAAUUAUUGUUUGCAUUAAGAUUAAAAUUUCGAAAAACAAAAAAUAUAAUAACGACUAAAAAUGAUCCAGUUAGAGAACAUGGACUAAAUCUCUAACUUUACACAUAAUACAGGAGUAAUACUAGAGUUUAACCAAACAAACUUAAUAAUUAUUAUUCGGUUAAAACUAAAUAUUCAAGAAAUGAAAACUACAGGAAUUAAUUUUUUUUAAAUUAAAUAUAAAUAUUAAAUCUAAAACUUAUACAAAAUACAUUAUCCAAUACAAAAUUUUGACCUUUUAUUUAAGAAAAAUCAAAUAUAAAUACUAAUUCUUUUAAAAAAGAAAUUAUAAAGGCAUAAACAACCUCUUUCUUUAUGGUGCAUAAAAAAUUAGAAAUGUCGCCAUCAAACUAUUAUAUAUCCGGCGCUAAACACCACUCAUCCAAUUUCAGAAGGACAAUACAUCACGAGAAAAUUAAUUUUGGUAUAUUAUCAAUUAUUCAUUCAUCCACAAAUAUUUAAUAUAUUUGUCUUCACCUACAUUACCUUUUUUUUUUUUUUUUCAUCAAAUUCAGUUUCAAAAUUUAACCAUCUCUAUUCUUAAUAAAAAUAUUUGAUAUAUUUGACAACAUAUCAUUUUCAUAAACUAUUAAUUAAUUAAAAUUAUCUGCUGUUAAAUAAAAUAAUUAAUACAUUUUAAAAAUCUUUAAAUUUUUUUAAUAUAUAACUAUUGUAUAUGAUUUUCUAUGCUAUUAUAAAGCUUUUGAUUAAACCAAUAUCACUCGACUUUCACAUUAAUUCAAAUAACGUUAAUACUUUUAACUUCCAAAGGUAAUCUUUUGAGUACAUUUUUUGGAUAUAUUCUUCACUAUGACACUCACGAGAGUCUCAUUUACUCUUCAAAAGUAUAUUUCGAUUUAACAUUCGUGUGAAUCUUGCUCACUAACAGUCAUCUCUAAUUUUAACUAUUGCGUCCCAUAUGAAGUUAUUAAUAGCAUGUCCAAUUAUCACUCUACCUAAGCCUAUAGUGACAGAUCACUUGGCCACUUAUCCUUGACCCACUAAUAAGGACUCGACACGUGAUCUCUCAAGACUACAACUAAGAGUAUAAAGCCCUCGACUCCGACAAAAAAUGGAAACUCCUUGCUUUUCUCCUCCAAACCUUCUCUUUUGAUUCUAAUCUUACCACUUCCAAACAUCAUCUAUGAUGGCUCUAUGACUUAUAUCCAACUAGAUAAAACCGGUUAUCUCCACUGUCCGCUCCGCCUUAUUAGAUCCAACCAUAAACAAAUAAUAAAAUAAUUAUAUAAACAAAAAUUUAAGCGUAAUAAGCUUAUUAAAUAAAAACAAAAACAUCAUUUACUAUAAUAAUAAAAAAAACUAUCCGCAAAGAUUUUUUUUUGCAUUCUUUUUAUGUUUAAUAAAUAAGUAGGACAUUCAUUUAAAGAAAAAGAAAAAUAUCAUUUUAUUUUAUUUUUCCUCUCAAUUCAUUAUUUUUUAAGAUAUAGAAUACUCGGCGAAGCGUUUGAGACAGUAGUCAAAUAAUUGAUUUGAAUGAUUAGGUGGAAAUACUCGGCGAAGCGUAUAAGAGACUCCAAGGUGUACGCUAACUAAAAUGUCCACGUGAUUUAAUUUAUUUACCAUUAAUACCGACAAAACCUUAUCAUCUGCUGCCGUGGACGUAGCAGCGGAAGCAGCAACAUUACUAUUGUAAUAAAUAUCAGUCUGUGCCGUGGAGAAAAGUGAGAAACAUUUUUUGCUAAACAAGAAAAAGAAAGUUGCCAUAAAAAUGGACAAGGCACUGUUACAGGGAGAUGAUCGGAAAACAUGGGGGACGACGGUGUUCGUGAAGGAGCUGAAGAAGGUGAGUUACAUGGCGGCACCGAUGGUGGCUGUAUCGGUAUCACAGUAUCUAUUACAGGUGAUAUCGUUGAUGAUAGUUGGUCAUGUGGGUGAGCUUGCUCUUUCUGGGGUUGCUAUUGCCACUUCUUUCACCAAUGUCACUGGCUUCAGUUUACUUGUAAUAAUCCUUCUUCUUUUCUCCUUUUCUUGCUUUUCUUUUUUGUUCUACUUCAGUUUUUUUAUAUAUAUAUUUUUGAAACUGUUUUUAAACCCUAAACUAAACGAAGGAUUUGAGACAAAGUAAGAAAAUUUAUAUUGAAAGGCUGAGGUGAGGUUAAAAGAGCUUGAAUUAAAUUAUAAAUUUUAUGAAGGAUCAAAUAUGUAAUUUAUCCGUCUCCUUUGGCUCGGGGAAAGUACUACACUGACAAAGUAUACGUUAAAAUAUAAUAAAUUUUCUGAAUGAGGAAAUGAGUUGGGUAAUAUGAUAGAUUUAGUUUGGACUGGAUUUAGUUCAGGGUUAACAUCAAAUAUUUGAAAAUAAAAAUAAAAAUUUUGACUAUCAUAUUAUAGAUGACGAGUCAUGUAAACUUUAUUCUAACAUACGUUAUUGUAUUAAUUUUUAUACGUUGAAAUAAAUGAAAAUUUUAAUUGAAGAGUUAAUUUAUUUUUUAAUUUAAUGUAUAAAAAUUAAUUUAUUUAUUUUUUAAAAUAAAUUAAUUUAAAAUUUUAAUACAAUAACCUUGAUGUUAUUUUUACCAUUAAAAAGGUAAAGUUAAAGGUUUAGUUAAAAAAAAAAAUCUCUUCAAGUAUUAGAAAAGAUGCUUUCUUCGUAAAUUGAGCUCUAAAUUUUCAUAUUGGCCUUUAAAGGUUUUUCUUUUUUUCUGAAAUUUUAUUUAGAUUACUAUUUUUAUCUUAUUUUACUCAAAAAGUUAUAUGUCUAAUAAGAAUGGGUGAUGUGUACUAUUGUUUUUUAGUAAAAUGGAACAAAAUUAAUAAUUUAAAUGUCAUUUUUAAUAAAAAAAAUUUUAAGGAACUAUUUAAAAAGUGCUAUAGUUUAUGGGCUAGUUUAUGAAUAAAGCCUAAAAAAAGGACAUAUAAUAGCAUUUUAAUUCCACAAGUUACAAAGGCCAAAGUGACUUAAUUUAGCUUAGUUCAAGUUUUCAAAUCACUAGCACGGGAUUAUUAUUAUUUUUACUUUCAUGAUCGGAUCCAAUUGAACCUGGUUUUUAUUUGAGUGAAUUAGAUAAAAUAUUUUCAAUUCUGUUCAUAAUUUUCAAGGUCUCAAUGUAAAUCGAUGGCUAACACUAUAUAAUUUUCGUUGGAAACAGUUUGGAAUGGCUGGUGCAUUGGAAACACUAGGUGGUCAGGCUUAUGGAGCCGAACAAUAUCAAAAGCUUGGAACCUACACUUACUGUUCAAUCUUAUCUCUCAUUACAAUUUGCCUCCCAGUUUCCCUCUUUUGGAUUUUUAUGGACGAAUUCUUAAUAUUUAUGGGUCAAGACCCUCAAAUUUCACAUGUAGCCAGCAUUUACUCCAUUUGGCUCAUCCCUGCAUUAUUUGCCGAUGCUAUUCUUCAAUCACUGGUUCGUUAUUUCCAGUCCCAAAGCCAAAUUCUCCCAUUGUUUUUAAGUUCAUGUGCCACCAUAUGCUUCCAUGUACCACUUUGCUGGGUUCUAGUACAUAAAACCAAUCUGGGUUACGUAGGUGCUGCAUUAGCAAUCACACUUGCCUUGUGGUUUAAUGUCAUUGUGCUCGGGUUUUACAUGAGAUGGUCCGCUAGUUGUGAGUCGACUCGGACUGUUAUUGUGGGGGAUGUUUUCGCGAGUAUCAAAGAGUUCUUAGGCUUUGCACUCCCUUCUGCUGUAAUGUGUUGGUAUGUAUAUUUCAGCUUUCUUUCUUUGUUUACUAAUCAAUUUUUGAACGUACAUAUAUGUUUCAUUUUUAUUAUGAUGAUCAGUCUUGAAUGGUGGUCAUUCGAGCUUCUCGUACUUCUAUCCGGCCUUUUACCGGAUUCGGAACUCGAAACAUCGGUUCUUUCUAUAUGGUAUGUAACCAAAUUUAUUCGAAACCUCGGUUUUUUUCAUUUUUUUCAAUAAGAUUUUUACUGAUUUCUUCUCAUUAUGUGCCGAGUAAAGCCUUUCAACAACAUCAUUACACUACUUCGUACCGUAUGGAGUUGGUGCUGCUGCAAGGUUAGACGAAUAUCUAUUAUAUCCGGUAAAAGUACAUGAAAGAUUUUAUACUAGGAGUUAAAUUGCAUUUUGUCACAUUUAUUUAAAAAAUAAACAAAUUAAUCUCUGUACAUUAAAUCAAAAAAUAAAUUAGUCAUUUCUAUUAAAAAUUUUAUCUAUGUGUAUUGUUAAAAAUUGACAUAUGGCUGAAGGAAUAAUUAUAUAGUAAUAUAUGGUGUGCCACGUGUACUUUAUGCUUAUGUACAAUGACCAGUUUUUAACAAUAGAAAUGGAUUUAAUUUUUAAGAGAAAGACCAAUUUGCUCUUUAAUCUAACGUACAAUGAUUAAUUUAUCUAUUUUUUGAAUAAACGGGGCAAAAUACAUUCCGACACCUAGUAUAUGAACUGCCAUGGUAUUUCUACCAUUAUAUUGUGUAUGCCAUUGACAAAAGCUUAAUUGCAUAUGCAUUGAGACUUACAUGUGCCACUAUGCCACUCCUUCUGUUUUGCAGUACUCGAGUUUCGAAUGAACUAGGAGCAGGGAACCCACAUUCGGCUCGAGUAGCAGUCAAUGUCGUGAUGAUACUCGGAAUUUUUGAAGCAAUGACUGUUAGCAUAACCCUCUUCAGCUGCCGUUAUGCUUUCGGAUAUCUGUACAGCAACGAACAGGAAGUUAUCGACUACGUUGGAGAAAUGAUUCCUUUAAUUUCACUAUCCGUCAUCAUUGACAGUUUACUAGCAGUUAUUUCCGGUCAGUCUCUAUACGUUGUUCCUCAUUCAUGUGAUAUUCAGACAAAUGAAGCUGUAUAACUCGAGUUUUCUUGCACGUUUCAGGUGUCGCGAGAGGAACCGGGUGGCAACACAUUGGAGCAUACGUGAACCUUGGGGCAUACUACCUUGUUGGAAUCCCAGUUGCUGCUCUGCUAUGCUUUAGCCUACAUCUUAGAGGAAAGGGACUUUGGAUUGGAAUAUUGACCGGUUCUUCUUUACAAUUGGUUCUUCUAGCUUUAGUUACUGGUUUCACAAAUUGGCAAAAACAGGUAUAUAUAUAUAAUAGUAUCAUCAAAAUUUUGGGAUUUGAAUGUUAAUGUGUUUAGCUAAGUGAAAAUUUUGGUAUGGAUGUUGCAGGCAAGCAAGGCACAAGAGAGAAUAUUUGAAGAGAAAUUUUCCAAUGGAUUAUUAGCUUGAAGAAACAUGAACUGGUCAUGUGUUGAGCUACCAACAUUUUGAUUUAGUUCUUAUGGAUUUUGUGUUUAGUUAUAAACCUUUUAAGUCACCAUGUUUAUACAAUAAAUUGCCAUCGUGUUGUCUGGUUUUAUGUCCCACUUUUUUAUGUCCAUUAAAUCUCCUGUCUAUAUAUGUAUUGCUGAGGGUUAGGUUUUCGAUAUGUUGAUAUUGUUUUUUGGUGAGAGUUUUGUUUCUCAACUUUAUUGAAAGCUUGAGCGGGUU
This 18794-nucleotide long non-coding RNA is filed under the name Gossypium barbadense (sea-island cotton). RNAcentral describes it as "long non-coding RNA (GBAR_LNC016134)". The stretch from base 12788 to 12874 matches the Rfam family "MIR7486 microRNA precursor family". Lineage: Eukaryota; Viridiplantae; Streptophyta; Magnoliopsida; Malvales; Malvaceae. The record is from RNAcentral.